CGACACACUAUCGUUAACUGAAUACAUAGGUUAACGAGGCGAACCGGGGGAACUGAAACAUCUAAGUACCCCGAGGAAAAGAAAUCAACCGAGAUUCCCCCAGUAGCGGCGAGCGAACGGGGAGCAGCCCGGAGUCUGAAUCAGCUUGUGUGUUAGUGGAACGGUCUGGAAAGUCCGACGGUACAGGGUGAUAGUCCCGUACACGAAAAUGCACUUGCUGUGAACUCGAAGAGUAGGGCGGGACACGUGGUAUCCUGUCUGAAUAUGGGGGGACCAUCCUCCAAGGCUAAAUACUCCUGACUGACCGAUAGUGAACCAGUACCGUGAGGGAAAGGCGAAAAGAACCCCGGCGAGGGGAGUGAAAAAGAACCUGAAACCGUGUACGUACAAGCAGUGGGAGCCUCUUUAUGGGGUGACUGCGUACCUUUUGUAUAAUGGGUCAGCGACUUAUAUUCUGUAGCAAGGUUAACCGUAUAGGGGAGCCGAAGGGAAACCGAGUCUUAACUGGGCGUUAAGUUGCAGGGUAUAGACCCGAAACCCGGUGAUCUAGCCAUGGGCAGGUUGAAGGUUGGGUAACACUAACUGGAGGACCGAACCGACUAAUGUUGAAAAAUUAGCGGAUGACCUGUGGCUGGGGGUGAAAGGCCAAUCAAACCGGGAGAUAGCUGGUUCUCCCCGAAAGCUAUUUAGGUAGCGCCUCGUGAACUCAUCUUCGGGGGUAGAGCACUGUUUCGGCUAGGGGGCCAUCCCGGCUUACCAACCCGAUGCAAACUACGAAUACCGAAGAAUGUUAUCACGGGAGACACACGGCGGGUGCUAACGUCCGUCGUGAAGAGGGAAACAACCCAGACCGCCAGCUAAGGUCCCAAAGUCAUGGUUAAGUGGGAAACGAUGUGGGAAGGCACAGACAGCCAGGAUGUUGGCUUAGAAGCAGCCAUCAUUUAAAGAAAGCGUAAUAGCUCACUGGUCGAGUCGGCCUGCGCGGAAGAUGUAACGGGGCUAAACCAUGCACCGAAGCUGCGGCAGCGACACUAUGUGUUGUUGGGUAGGGGAGCGUUCUGUAAGCCGUUGAAGGUGUGCUGUGAGGCAUGCUGGAGGUAUCAGAAGUGCGAAUGCUGACAUAAGUAACGAUAAAGCGGGUGAAAAGCCCGCUCGCCGGAAGACCAAGGGUUCCUGUCCAACGUUAAUCGGGGCAGGGUGAGUCGACCCCUAAGGCGAGGCCGAAAGGCGUAGUCGAUGGGAAACAGGUUAAUAUUCCUGUACUUGGUGUUACUGCGAAGGGGGGACGGAGAAGGCUAUGUCAGCCGGGCGACGGUUGUCCCGGUUUAAGCAUGUAGGCGGAGGUUCCAGGUAAAUCCGGUACCUUUUAACGCUGAGGUGUGAUGACGAGGCACUACGGUGCUGAAGUGAUAAAUGCCCUGCUUCCAGGAAAAGCCUCUAAGCAUCAGGUAACACGAAAUCGUACCCCAAACCGACACAGGUGGUCAGGUAGAGAAUACCAAGGCGCUUGAGAGAACUCGGGUGAAGGAACUAGGCAAAAUGGUGCCGUAACUUCGGGAGAAGGCACGCUGAUAUGUAGGUGAAGUCCCUGCGGACGGAGCUGAAAUCAGUCGAAGAUACCAGCUGGCUGCAACUGUUUAUUAAAAACACAGCACUGUGCAAACACGAAAGUGGACGUAUACGGUGUGACGCCUGCCCGGUGCCGGAAGGUUAAUUGAUGGGGUUAGCGGCAACGCGAAGCUCUUGAUCGAAGCCCCGGUAAACGGCGGCCGUAACUAUAACGGUCCUAAGGUAGCGAAAUUCCUUGUCGGGUAAGUUCCGACCUGCACGAAUGGCGUAAUGAUGGCCAGGCUGUCUCCACCCGAGACUCAGUGAAAUUGAACUCGCUGUGAAGAUGCAGUGUACCCGCGGCAAGACGGAAAGACCCCGUGAACCUUUACUAUAGCUUGACACUGAACACUGGUCCUUGAUGUGUAGGAUAGGUGGGAGGCUUUGAAGCGUGGACGCCAGUCUGCGUGGAGCCAUCCUUGAAAUACCACCCUUUAAUGGCUGGUGUUCUAACGUAGACCCGUGAUCCGGGUUGCGGACAGUGUCUGGUGGGUAGUUUGACUGGGGCGGUCUCCUCCCAAAGAGUAACGGAGGAGCACGAAGGUUGGCUAAUCCUGGUCGGACAUCAGGAGGUUAGUGCAAUGGCAUAAGCCAGCUUGACUGCGAGCGUGACGGCGCGAGCAGGUGCGAAAGCAGGUCAUAGUGAUCCGGUGGUUCUGAAUGGAAGGGCCAUCGCUCAACGGAUAAAAGGUACUCCGGGGAUAACAGGCUGAUACCGCCCAAGAGUUCAUAUCGACGGCGGUGUUUGGCACCUCGAUGUCGGCUCAUCACAUCCUGGGGCUGAAGUAGGUCCCAAGGGUAUGGCUGUUCGCCAUUUAAAGUGGUACGCGAGCUGGGUUUAGAACGUCGUGAGACAGUUCGGUCCCUAUCUGCCGUGGGCGCUGGAGAAUUGAGGGGGGCUGCUCCUAGUACGAGAGGACCGGAGUGGACGCAUCACUGGUGUUCGGGUUGUCAUGCCAAUGGCACUGCCCGGUAGCUAAAUGCGGAAGAGAUAAGUGCUGAAAGCAUCUAAGCACGAAACUUGCCCCGAGAUGAGUUCUCCCUGAGACUUUAAGUCUCCUGAAGGAACGUUGAAGACGACGACGUUGAUAGGUCGGGUGUGUAAGCGCAGCGAUGCGUUGAGCUAACCGAUACUAAUGAACCGUGAGGCUUAACCUUACAACGCCGAAGGUGUUU
RNAcentral lists this ribosomal RNA (2784 nucleotides) under Enterobacter hormaechei. RNAcentral's name for it is "partial 23S ribosomal RNA". It matches the Rfam family "Bacterial large subunit ribosomal RNA". The record is from RNAcentral. Lineage: Bacteria; Pseudomonadati; Pseudomonadota; Gammaproteobacteria; Enterobacterales; Enterobacteriaceae.